AUGGAUCCAAGCUAUCACAGGAGGUCACAGAUGGAGGAUGAAUUCAUGUUAUUUGUCUUCCCUACCAUGGAAGAAGGAAGGGAGAAAAAACCAAUGCAUACAUCUAGUCUUACAGGAGCUGCUUAUGUCCAGGAAAUCUUAAAUGGGCAUGAAAGCUUAUGCAGAAGGCAUUUCAGAAUGGAGGCUUACAUCUUUCAUGCUCUAGUUGAGAAGCUGCGUGAGAAUGAAAUACUUGAAGAUUCUACAAUAGUCUCCUUGGAAGAAAAGGUUGCCAUAUUUUUAUAUGCAGUUGCAAAAAAAGCUAGUAAUGAAACCUUGCAGGAUAGGUUCCAGCACAGUGGGCAAACCAUCAGUCGACACUUUGGAGAUGUACUAGAGGCAAUUACAAAGCUUGCAAGCAUCUAUAUACGCCCACCUUCUCUUCGACCACAUCCAGUCUUGAGGAGAUCACAUUUCCAUCCCUACUUCAAUGUAAGCAUACAUUUUCAUAUAUUUCUGACUUUGUAUUGGUAA
RNAcentral lists this ribosomal RNA (513 nucleotides) under Triticum aestivum (bread wheat). RNAcentral describes it as "partial small subunit ribosomal RNA". Lineage: Eukaryota; Viridiplantae; Streptophyta; Magnoliopsida; Poales; Poaceae. The record is from RNAcentral.